Callithrix jacchus (white-tufted-ear marmoset) is the source of this 90-nucleotide Y RNA. It matches the Rfam family "Y RNA". From Rfam's summary of the family: Y RNAs are components of the Ro ribonucleoprotein particle (Ro RNP), in association with Ro60 and La proteins. Lineage: Eukaryota; Metazoa; Chordata; Mammalia; Primates; Cebidae. The record is from Ensembl.
GGUUGGUCUGAUGGUAUUGGGUUAUCAGAACAUAUUAACAUCACUAAAGUUAGUAUACAACCAUCCAUUGCUAAAUUUGACUGGCUUAAA